GGAGGAGUACGCUCGGGAGCCCUGGUACGGCAAUGGGCACAGGCAUCCGGAAUAUUGCUGCGACGCCAAGGCCAGCCGUGGGGGUCGGGCGGGGGAGGCAUCGGCCGCACAGAGCCAUGUACCAGACUCGGGGGACUCUUAACGUAUCUCCCGCUACCCCCACUCGGUUCCUGUCAUUCGGGCUCCGUUAUGAGGGGCCACAACCAGAGAAGCCCAUGGCGAAUUGUGGAUGAUUGCGGUGGAGCCUUCACUAUGGGUGUCAUCGGUGGCGGAGUCUUCCAGGCCAUCAAGGGUUUCCGCAAUGCCCCUGUUUGCAGAUUGCUGUCUGAAGCUCCCUUGUUUAUCUACUCUUGCUCAAGAUCUGUGUCUCCCACCGUUAAUGUGAGCUCUGAGAGGGCAGAGAGCAGACCUACCUUGUUCAUGGCUGUAUCCCUGCAUAUGGCAUGGUGCUUGGCACAUAUAGGAAUUCGGCACCGGUUGAGAGGUAGUGCCAAUGCUGUGAGGAUCCGAGCCCCCCAGAUUGGAGUAGCUUCGCAGUGUGGGGGGGCCUGUUCUCCACCAUCGACUGUGGCCUGGUGCGGCUUCGGGGCAAGGAGGAUCCCUGGAACUCUAUCACCAGUGGAGCAUUGACCGGGGCUGUGCUGGCUGCCCGCAGUGGCCCACUG
This 665-nucleotide long non-coding RNA is filed under the name Homo sapiens (human). Its description in RNAcentral is "non-protein coding lnc-SLC35A2-2:2". Lineage: Eukaryota; Metazoa; Chordata; Mammalia; Primates; Hominidae. The record is from RNAcentral.